AACAUUUGAUCAUUUGUCUUAUUUAAAAUUUUUUUGCGAUUAAUAUUUUUAUUUUUACUAGAUGAUAAAAUAUGAAUAGUACUUUAUACGUGACUAAUUUUUUUAAGUUGGUGUACAAAUUUUUUAAAUAAGACGAAUGGUCAAACGUU
This 149-nucleotide microRNA precursor is filed under the name Oryza brachyantha (malo sina). RNAcentral's name for it is "MIR812 microRNA precursor family". It matches the Rfam family "MIR812 microRNA precursor family", at positions 30 to 176 of the family's 205-position model. Lineage: Eukaryota; Viridiplantae; Streptophyta; Magnoliopsida; Poales; Poaceae. The record is from Rfam by way of RNAcentral.